UGCGUAGGUGGUUAGUUAAGUUGUAUGUGAAAACCCUGGGCUUAACCUAGGAAUUGCAUAUAAAACUGAUUGGCUAGAGUGCGGUAGAGGGAAGUGGAAUUUCCGGUGUAGCGGUGAAAUGCGUAGAUAUCGGAAGGAACAUCAGUGGCGAAGGCGACUUCCUGGACCGUUACUGACACUGAGGCACGAAAGCGUGGGGAGCGAACAGGAUUAGAUACCCUGGUAGUCCACGCCGUAAACGAUGAGAACUAGAUGUUGGUUGGCAUGACCAAUCAGUAUCGCAGCAAACGCGUUAAGUUCUCCGCCUGGGGAGUACGGCCGCAAGGUUAAA
RNAcentral lists this ribosomal RNA (331 nucleotides) under uncultured bacterium. Its description in RNAcentral is "bacterial SSU rRNA". It matches the Rfam family "Bacterial small subunit ribosomal RNA", at positions 568 to 898 of the family's 1533-position model. The record is from RNAcentral.